CACCAUAAACAACUUUUCUCCAUUUUGAAUGGGUUGGAGAAGAGCUCCCACUGAUGUUAGCCUCCAUCUGUAUCAUACAACUCUACUCUACAGCAUCUGCGAACAAUUAUUAAAUGACAGUCAGCAAUUUUAUUUUACUUUUUUAUGAAGGUGUUUCAUCAACAGGCAUCAAGAAGAUGCAUUACAAGAAGCAUAAUUACAAGCAAAAAGAUUUCUUCUCAAAAAAAAAAAGAAGUAAAAAGACUAAAGAGCAAUGUUAGCCCUAAUACAGUGUGUCAGUCUAGCACAAAGCAACUAACAAAGUCCAAAAAUAAAUGACAGUCAGCACUCAGGGAUCCUAAAUCAUAAUCACUCUCUUAUAGUUUACACAACAAGUUAGAGAUGAAAAAAGGGAAAACACAACAAAUCAUGCAUCUAGCUUAGGAUCUGGAGCCACGUGAUAUUUAAAUCAACGUUCACCACUCUCCAUUCACAUUAGUUAUCACAAACACACUAAUUCCACUAACUCCACACCACUGUAUAUUGAGUAAUUUUCAAGCUAGGUAAACACAUUGCAGACACAAAAAUUCACAUUGCAUAUACGAAAUAAAAAAAAAAGAAACCGAGCUACAAAAUUUUGCAAUAUCAAGCCUUUUCAAGUCUGAUAUAUUAAUACAUUUAACACCAUCCAAUUUCGUUUUACAUCACUAACUCCUCUUAAUUGAUAAACUGUACUCUUGAUAUCUUCGGCUUUUGGAGCAGAGUAAAGCCUUUAAGUUUCUCUCAAAGUGUAUGUAGUGUUAGCGAAAGCACUCGCUUCCUCGCUUUAAACGAGAAGCCAUGCAAAGCGCCACAGUUCCCGCUUCCCCCAUGUGAAGCGACACAGGUAUAACAAAGUGACCGCUUCCUAAAAAGCGAGAAGUGUCCAAGCAUAGUGAUGCGAAAGAAGCGACCAGCUUCUUUGUAUUAAAGAGAAGCCAGGUCCUAUUUUAUUAAAAACGAGUUUCCGUGUAAUUAGUGCUUUUAGCAGAUCAUCUUCAACAGCGACUAGAGGCGACUAGGGUUCUUCUUCUUUCACUGAUUCAAAAUCCCGAAAUGCUGGCGAAUUUUUUUUACCUUCAGUUCUUUCUAAGAAUUGAUGCCAAUCCUUGGGUUCUUCUUUCUCUGUCCAGUUUAUAACAGAGAAUUGCUGCCCUUCCUCUGAUUUUUAUAUUUUUUUGUUCUUAGUUCUUAUUGUCUUUCUUAUGUGUUAUGUAGUUGUCUACGCAGUAUUUAUUUUAAUUUUUUUUAAUUUCGCUUCAUUUCAAAAAAGCGAGCGCUUCGCUUCUCGCUUUAAGCGAAAUGGGGAUUGUAAUUUUUUCUCGCUUCACACUCUUCACAACACUGAGUGUAUGAUAUAACCUCCUUAUACUCAAAUGAUAUUUUUUUAUAUCAAUUCUGAAGUAUCAAAUGGAGGGAAAAAAAGGUACCAAAUGGACUUAAAAGUUACACAUAUUGCCCUUUAACCUCAAAAGAAUCCCAUCCUAGCCCCACACUUGAUGAGCACCUCUAGCCAACCCCAAGAUAUUGCUGGAUUAUUUUUCACUAUAUUUUAGAAAUAUCCAGCGGUGUUGUCACUGACAACCAGAAGAAGUAAAUUGCACCCAUAUCUUAUACUAUUCUGAUUGCACCAUCAAUCAUUACUAUUGGCAAGGAAACCACAAGCAGAAAAGAAAAGAGCAGUAUAAGCUCAGAUAACUACUACAAAAUGAUGAACUCGGAAGAUAGAGCUGGCAGUUUAAUUUUUUCAACGUCUACCUUGAAUGUGUAUAGGAAUGAUAUGGACCUCAGUGGAGUGGAUUGAUAAAGAUAAUUCAUAUAGUAGACUUAACAUAUCUAAGCAUUAAACAUAGCCGAACAAGUUGUAUCUUGAAUGACUGAUAGCAUCAUUAACCAAAAAAAAGUAGAAGAGGUUUUAACCAUAAGUACACAGCAACAAGGGGUUUAGCUAUGGAAGCAUAAUUGGAGGUUGAAGGUUCCCUUAAACUAAUUGAGUUUUGGUCAGACAGGCUGUUCCGACAUGAGAGCUUAAUGAAGAGGGGAAUAUAAUGCCCCUGUGCUCCAAAUGUUUUCUGUGUGGAAAGGCCAUCGAAACAAACAGUCAUCUGUUUCUCCAUUGUCAGGUGACCAAUAGAUUGUGGAAACUAUUCAUGAGUAUGAAAAGCUUAAGCUGGGUAAUGCCUAGUGAGACUAUGGACUUGCUUUCUAAUUGGGACAAUUUAGCUGAACAAUAAAAGAGAAAGCCGACCUUUCCAUUAAGUAGCAAUCACAACAAAGUGUUAUAAUAACAGUGAAUGAAACUCUCUCUUACAGCCACCAUAACAAUACUAUUUAUAGUUGGCGAAUUACUGAGGCUCUAAGUUUAACAAGAUAAAACAUCCGAAAAUUAAGGUCGCAGAGGCAAUUUAAUAACAACAACAACAACAACAACAAUAAUAAUAGCAAACACACAAACAAAAAGAAUCUGAAUCAGUAAAUAAUAAAGUGCAAGUAAAAUCAGAGUAAGACUUCAUGUUAGAAAGAGAAAAUUUUGAGAAGAAGAGUACAAGAUCGAGAUUUUGGGAAAUCAAAUUUAAUACACGGGAGAGGACGAAUCUGUGUGAAAUAUAUUAAAAAUAAUAACAGAGAAAUUUCAUAAUUUUUACCUACUUUGUGAAAUCGUGAACUUGGACGGAUUCUCCAAAGAAAAAUCUAUCCCGAUCUUCGCAAUUUUUCUUCAAAAUCUGUUUUUGAGAGUGGAAACAGGGAAGGAAACAUUCUGAUUUGUGAUUAGGAGAAGAUUAGAAAAUUUGAUAUAUACGGAUAGAAGAAUUAAGGAAAGAGAAUAAAAUAGGGAGGCCUAAGAAGUAUUGAGGAGGGAUGAUUAGGCAGGACAUGACUAGAAUGCAGGUUUCCGAGGACAUGACCCUUGAUAG
This 2933-nucleotide long non-coding RNA is filed under the name Nicotiana benthamiana. RNAcentral's name for it is "long non-coding RNA (NBEN_LNC028935)". The record is from RNAcentral. Lineage: Eukaryota; Viridiplantae; Streptophyta; Magnoliopsida; Solanales; Solanaceae.